This is a long non-coding RNA of Plutella xylostella (diamondback moth), 603 nucleotides long. RefSeq lists it as uncharacterized. Lineage: Eukaryota; Metazoa; Arthropoda; Insecta; Lepidoptera; Plutellidae. The record is from RefSeq and is a predicted model, not a curated record.
GGUAUUAUUGUUGUUUGUUAAAAUAUUGUGAGUGCUCUAAAAAUGCAAGCAAAUGAAUAUUCAAGAUAUUAUAUUCUAAAAGAUAUUAGUGGAUGCAGAUAAGAGUGUUUAGUGAGUGCUAUGUUUGAAUAUUGCAAGUGAAAACACAGCCUAUCGAUGUAAUGCGCCGAUAAACAAUCAUGACUGCAUUGAUGUAAUGCGCUAAAAAACUGCAAUGGCUCCGAAUACAUGAUUACCAGAUAACAAAUCCUGGCGCAGCUUACGUGUGUGCUUCUAUAACGUCGCAAGCUACAGUGGCUGUUCAUAAUUUUUGCAAGUUCUACACCUACAGGAUUCAGUUAUCUGGGCAUUAUAGAUACCCUUUUAUCACCUACGAAGUUAUUUAGGUAUAUUUAUUAAAACCAUUAAAUAUUGAGCAACGUCAAUAAUAUAUUAUUACUUAGCAAUUAACCAACUGUGAUUAUUGUAAAAUAAGCUAAUUAUUCUAACGCUAAGGAAUAAUAUAUAAAUUUGUGUAUAAAGUUGUUGGGGAAAAAUAUGUUUAUAAUAGAUAAAUAAUAAUAUUACCAAAUAUUAGGAGCUCUGAAUUAUGACUUUAGAAUA